CCUGGGAAACCCGAAAGAUCGAAUGGGGAGAUUCAUCGUCAGCGACGUCGGCUUUUCGGCGGUUCGCGAUGCGCGCGGGCGUCCAUCCGGGCGUCCGCGUCGCACGCGUCCGCCGUGUCUCUGCCAUGCCCGGCGGCGUCGGCGUGCACUUCUCCCCUAGUAGAACGUCGCGACCCGUUGGGUGUCGGUCUACGGCCCGAGUCGUCGCCUGUCCCGUCGCUUCGGCGUCGCGGGUCAGACGCUCGGUGUUGUCAUCCCGACCGGCUGCCCGGCGGUACCCGCACGGUAUCUGGCCGCAAUCGAACUGCGUCCCAGGGCCCGCCGCAAGCGCGGCCAGUGUUCCCCGGAGUUACGGACCCAGUGCCGUUCCCGGGCCUGGCCCGCUGCUCGCCGGCGGUGUCCUCCGACAGGCCGUAGCGUCCCCCUCGUUUUUCGGCGGGGGACGCGCACGUGAUACCGGUCGGCGACGCUACUGCUUUGGGUACUUUCAGG
Molecule: ribosomal RNA, 492 nt
Filed under: Decevania sp. 296
Lineage: Eukaryota; Metazoa; Arthropoda; Insecta; Hymenoptera; Evaniidae
Description: eukaryotic LSU rRNA
Source: RNAcentral